AGUGAACGCUGGCGGUAGGCCUAACACAUGCAAGUCGAACGGCAGCACAGUAAGAGCUUGCUCUUACGGGUGGCGAGUGGCGGACGGGUGAGGAAUACAUCGGAAUCUACUUUUUCGUGGGGGAUAACGUAGGGAAACUUACGCUAAUACCGCAUACGACCUACGGGUGAAAGCAGGGGAUCUUCGGACCUUGCGCGAUUGAAUGAGCCGAUGUCGGAUUAGCUAGUUGGCGGGGUAAAGGCCCACCAAGGCGACGAUCCGUAGCUGGUCUGAGAGGAUGAUCAGCCGCACUGGAACUGAGACGCGGUCCAGACUCCUACGGGAGGCAGCAGUGGGGAAUAUUGGACAAUGGGCGCAAGCCUGAUCCAGCCAUACCGCGUGGGUGAAGAAGGCCUUCGGGUUGUAAAGCCCUUUUGUUGGGAAAGAAAAGCAGCAGGUUAAUACCCCGCUGUUCUGACGGUACCCAAAGAAUAAGCACCGGCUAACUUCGUG
RNAcentral lists this ribosomal RNA (492 nucleotides) under uncultured bacterium. RNAcentral's name for it is "partial 16S ribosomal RNA". It matches the Rfam family "Bacterial small subunit ribosomal RNA", at positions 29 to 507 of the family's 1533-position model. The record is from RNAcentral.